AUUUAAUGAAUUUGUAAAUGGGAAUUAUCAAUAUACUAAUAGAACUUAAUUUUUCCAUUCAUGUUUUUGGGUUUUUUUUUUCUGUGUUCAACAUACUGUAGAUCUUAAAGGUCAUAUGUGCAACUUUGACCCAUUAGGCACUUUCAAUUGCUACAUUGUCACAAUUGAAGAGUGAGUGCAUAUAGGGAUGCUGCCUUAAUGCAGUCCUUCCUCCCUAUGCAGUCCUUCCCAU
This is a non-coding RNA of Paramuricea clavata, 232 nucleotides long. The record is from the annotation of a GenBank genome assembly. Lineage: Eukaryota; Metazoa; Cnidaria; Anthozoa; Malacalcyonacea; Plexauridae.